Cricetulus griseus (Chinese hamster) is the source of this 73-nucleotide non-coding RNA. Lineage: Eukaryota; Metazoa; Chordata; Mammalia; Rodentia; Cricetidae. The record is from Rfam.
GCCUCGUUAGUGCAGUAGGUAGUGCAUCAGUCUCAUAAUCUGAAGGUCGUGAGUUCGAUCCUCACACAAGGCA